GGCCCAAACUAAAAUUGGAGCCUGAACCACCCAACACCCAAAAUCCCCUCCCAUCGCCGCAUCCUCUCUCCUCCCGUUCCCCAUUCCUCCUGCUCCAUCUACGGCAGAUCCCGGCCAACUCCGGCCAGCCCCCCUGCCUUGCUGGCCACCAUCCCGACACUCCCUCAUCCUCCUCUCUCGAAUCCUCCGCGAGGAACAGCCAGGCUGCAUCACCAACUCAAACCCUAGCCUCCGGCUCUACAGAGAUCAAGUUUCGACCUUUGGGUCCAUGGCGGCGACACGGCCGCAGGACGGGGUGACGCGGUUCGGUGGCGAUCUUAACGCGCAGACCGGAAUGGAUUUCUCAGCUCCAUGCGCGUGGCGCACCUGAAUCCUCUUUUUUGCCACCCCGCUCAAACCCUAGACCCGCCGCGGCCAAAUCCUAUCACCGCCCCAACUCCGGCAACCGAGAUCAUGUUGGCCACCAUGGAAGGCCAAGGACUACUACGAAGAGGGCCACGCGCCAGGAGGACAGCGGCAACGCCCCGACAAACAUGCUGCUGCUACCCCCCGUGAGCGAGGUUCAAAUCAUAUUUGGGCACCAAGCUGCUGCUUAUGGAACCAUACCAGGAGGUGGCGGCCAGCCAGGUGAGGAGGAGGCUGACUUCAUCGGUGACAUCUGCAAGUGCCGCGGGGAGGUGCUACAGUCGCUGAUGAUCGACGGCAUCUAUUGACUUGGUCUCCGGAAAGAGAAACUCACCGACGAGGAGGUGCGCCGUUGUCGUGACAAGGAUGCUGAACUGCUGCUUGUUGCCUACACCAUCCGCGUUGAAGGCCUCCUGAAGCUCUUGCCUGUGCUCACUGAUCCGACCUGGCACAACUCCGAUGGGCUGCUGUUGCCAAUGACUUGCAGCUGGUUCAAAUCAUAUCAGAGGAUGAGAAGGAGAGACUCAAUGGCGUUGCAAGAGGAAGUCUCUACGGUGGCCGCCAAUCAGCUAUGAGGUCUUCAUCAAUAGCAUCUCACCUACCAGGAGGAUAUUGGCCCCAAGGAUUUGUUGGGUGGUGGAGGCCAAGAGGCAAGUAGUCACCUACAGCAGCCGGAUGACGGUAUAGCCCAAGGGGGUGGUGGAUUCAGGGCCGACAAUGAUCUCAGCUUGGAUGAUGCCAGGCACGAGAAUGGCUAUGCUUGGAAGUUAAUCGAUGGACGAGCUGAGCUUCUUUGUCUAGUGAUGUGAUGCUGCAGCGGUACAUGGAGCCAUGCUUCUUCUGUGGUGCUUCUGCAGGGGUUCCCUGAUGCGGCAGCACCAGCAGCAAGAGAGAAGUAGAGUUGAUGGUCCGUGAUGGUUUUUUUUGUGUUUAUUCAAGUGAUGGUGCUCUUGUAGUGUUGUGGUCUUAAAUUUUCUGCUAGCUGUGUGGUGCUCUUGUAACAUUAAUUAUUUUUAACUUGCUUCGUUGGUUAAAC
Molecule: non-coding RNA, 1441 nt
Organism: Lolium perenne
Lineage: Eukaryota; Viridiplantae; Streptophyta; Magnoliopsida; Poales; Poaceae
Source: RefSeq, a predicted model, not a curated record